Molecule: ribosomal RNA, 301 nt
Filed under: uncultured bacterium
Lineage: Bacteria
Description: partial 16S ribosomal RNA
Rfam family: Bacterial small subunit ribosomal RNA
Source: RNAcentral
CAGUAGCCACGGGAAUACGAAGGGUGCAAGCGUUAAUCGGAAUUACUGGGCGUAAAGCGUGCGUAGGCGGUUUGUUAAGUCUGCUGUGAAAUCCCCGGGCUCAACCUGGGAAUGGCAGUGGAUACUGGCAAGCUAGAGUGUGUCAGAGGAUGGUGGAAUUCCCGGUGUAGCGGUGAAAUGCGUAGAGAUCGGGAGGAACAUCAGUGGCGAAGGCGGCCAUCUGGGACAACACUGACGCUGAGGCACGAAAGCGUGGGGAGCAAACAGGAUUAGAUACCCCCGUAGUCCCUGUCUCUUAUAC